RNAcentral lists this ribosomal RNA (253 nucleotides) under uncultured bacterium. RNAcentral's name for it is "partial 16S ribosomal RNA". It matches the Rfam family "Bacterial small subunit ribosomal RNA", at positions 524 to 776 of the family's 1533-position model. The record is from RNAcentral.
UGCGUAGGUGGCAAGCGUUGUCCGGAUUUACUGGGUGUAAAGGGCGUGUAGGCGGAGCUGCAAGUCAGAUGUGAAAUCCCGGGGCUCAACCCCGGAACUGCAUUUGAAACUGUAGCCCUUGAGUAUCGGAGAGGCAGGCGGAAUUCCUAGUGUAGCGGUGAAAUGCGUAGAUAUUAGGAGGAACACCAGUGGCGAAGGCGGCCUGCUGGACGACAACUGACGCUGAGGCGCGAAAGCGUGGGGAGCAAACAGG